GCUCUCUUAGUUCAAUUGGAUAGAGCGUCAGAUUUCGAAUCUGAAAGUUGGGGGUUCGACUCCCUCAGAGAGCGCCA
RNAcentral lists this transfer RNA (77 nucleotides) under Candidatus Brocadiales bacterium. RNAcentral's name for it is "tRNA-Arg". It matches the Rfam family "tRNA". From Rfam's summary of the family: Transfer RNA (tRNA) molecules are approximately 80 nucleotides in length. Their secondary structure includes four short double-helical elements and three loops (D, anti-codon, and T loops). Further hydrogen bonds mediate the characteristic L-shaped molecular structure. tRNAs have two regions of fundamental functional importance: the anti-codon, which is responsible for specific mRNA codon recognition, and the 3' end, to which the tRNAs corresponding amino acid is attached (by aminoacyl-tRNA synthetases). tRNAs cope with the degeneracy of the genetic code in two manners: having more than one tRNA (with a specific anti-codon) for a particular amino acid; and 'wobble' base-pairing, i.e. permitting non-standard base-pairing at the 3rd anti-codon position. Lineage: Bacteria; Pseudomonadati; Planctomycetota; Candidatus Brocadiia; Candidatus Brocadiales. The record is from RNAcentral.